RNAcentral lists this ribosomal RNA (547 nucleotides) under Gnomonia virginianae. RNAcentral describes it as "eukaryotic LSU rRNA". The stretch from base 231 to 384 matches the Rfam family "5.8S ribosomal RNA". The record is from RNAcentral. Lineage: Eukaryota; Fungi; Ascomycota; Sordariomycetes; Diaporthales; Gnomoniaceae.
UCAUUGCUGGAAUACACGCCCUCACGGGCGCUACCCAGAUACCCUUUGUGAACUUAUACCUACAAUUGUUGCCUCGGCAUUGGUUGGGUUUUCUCUCUCGAGAGCCCCCUCUGGCCCUCUCUUUCCCUUUUGGGACGGGGGCGGCACGAGGAGCCGACCGGCCGACGGCCCCACUAUAAACUCUUUAUUUGUACACUGUAUCUUCUGAGUAACAACUAUAAAUGAAUCAAAACUUUCAACAACGGAUCUCUUGGUUCUGGCAUCGAUGAAGAACGCAGCGAAAUGCGAUAAGUAAUGUGAAUUGCAGAAUUCAGUGAAUCAUCGAAUCUUUGAACGCACAUUGCGCCCGCUGGUAUUCCGGCGGGCAUGCCUGUUCGAGCGUCAUUUCAACCCUCAAGCCUAGCUUGGUGUUGGAGCACUACCUGUCACAGGGUAGGCUCUGAAAUUUAGUGGCGGGCUCGCUAGAAUUUUGAGCGUAGUAAUUUUUAUACCUCGUUUGUAAAGACUAGCGGUGCUUUUCUUGCCGUAAAACCCCCCAACUUUCUGA